CAGUCGCCACGGUAAUACGAAGGGUGCAAGCGUUAAUCGGAAUUAUUGGGCGUAAAGCGUGCGUAGGCGGUUUGUUAAGUCUGUUGUGAAACCCCCGGGCUCAACCUGGGAAUGGCAAUGGAUACUGGCAAGCUAGAGUGUGUCAGAGGAUGGUGGAAUUCCCGGUGUAGCGGUGAAAUGCGUAGAGAUCGGGAGGAACAUCAGUGGCGAAGGCGGCCAUCUGGGACAACACUGACGCUGAGGCACGAAAGCGUGGGGAGCAAACAGGAUUAGAUACCCCCGUAGUCCCUGUCUCUUAUAC
RNAcentral lists this ribosomal RNA (301 nucleotides) under uncultured bacterium. Its description in RNAcentral is "partial 16S ribosomal RNA". It matches the Rfam family "Bacterial small subunit ribosomal RNA", at positions 509 to 807 of the family's 1533-position model. The record is from RNAcentral.